Long non-coding RNA from Lolium rigidum, 751 nucleotides. RefSeq lists it as uncharacterized. The record is from RefSeq and is a predicted model, not a curated record. Lineage: Eukaryota; Viridiplantae; Streptophyta; Magnoliopsida; Poales; Poaceae. The transcript has 3 exons.
UUGACUUGGACCGAAUACUCGACCUGGACCUCGUAUUAUCCCCGUUCCCGUCUUUGUCCCCGUCCUCGUCCCGUGCAAAUCCCACCGAGAGCUGCAACCCAUCCACAAACGGCGGCGACCGAGGGAGACGCCGGCGAGAUGGGCGGCGAGCAAGACCUGCGAAAGGCCACAGAGAGCUGCGAGAGGGGCAGGUUCGUCCUCGGCGCACCGACAAAUCCAAUCAUGGAUCCCGCCUAGCCGCUCCACAUCGCCGCCAUCGUUCUUGGCAUCUGACCGGCGACGGCACCUCCCGCCAUCCCUGUACUCCGAUCUGGUCCUAUCUCCGAUUUUGCUAUUCUGCAAGUCUGGCAUUCUCUCCACUAAAUUCAUUCAGUGACGAGACUCCACUCUCUUGGGAUCGUGUAAAAACACUAGUAUUCGGCGGGCACUUCGAGUAAAGAUGUUAUCAUUGCUAAUCAGGAUCAGGGUCAAGGCUACGACUGAGACUUGAGAGCUUAUCAUGACAUUCCUUUGUUGAUGUUGUUCAAUUCUUGGUACUUUAGCUCGUUUGCCUUCUAGACGUCCAAGAUGUACUCCUUCGGGCGACUUGGUCGAGUAAAAGUUGAGAGCUUAUCAUGGAGCUUAUUAUGACAUUCCUCUGCUGAUGUUGUUUAAUUCUUGCUACUUUAGCUCAUUUUCCUGUAAAACGUUUCUCUGGAUGCAUAGUAUAUGUUACCCGACUUGUUAAUUUUAAUGUAUGCUAAAGCUCAAA